Molecule: long non-coding RNA, 311 nt
Organism: Dipodomys spectabilis (banner-tailed kangaroo rat)
Lineage: Eukaryota; Metazoa; Chordata; Mammalia; Rodentia; Heteromyidae
Exons: 4
Source: RefSeq, a predicted model, not a curated record
AAGAACUUAUAGCUGGGUCGCUGCAGGACGCCCUUAAAGUCGGCCAAGGUGACGCGCUCGGCGGGCAGGGGCAGCUUCACCAGAUCGAGCCUCAUUAUGUUGCCCAAGCUAGUGUCAAACUCCUGAGGUCACCAUUCUGAGUAGCUGGGAUGAAUGGCUGAUUUUCCUCCUUUUUUAAGGAUCUGAAUGAGGAGAAAGGAAGGAAGAUCACUCAAACAAGCAAGACAGGAAGAACAUCACCAGGGCUCUGGUAAUAUUGAUGUUUGAGAUGACAUCCCCAUAGACUAGAAGAAAGUCAGAGCGGACCAAGG